RNAcentral lists this transfer RNA (62 nucleotides) under Mengenilla australiensis. RNAcentral describes it as "tRNA-Leu". The record is from RNAcentral. Lineage: Eukaryota; Metazoa; Arthropoda; Insecta; Strepsiptera; Mengenillidae.
AUUUAUUUGAUUAAUAAUCAUUUUUAAAUCCUAAAUUUAAUACACUUUUCUGCCAAAAUAAU